AUCUGAAGCAAAGCAAAGGAAGCGGAGAAAGCCUGGACCCUGAGACCAGAGACUUGCAGGAGCUAGAGACCAGUCUGGAGAGCAGAGUCCAAGACACGCACUUAUUUGGAAGAUGGGAGAAACUGAGGCUCGGAAAUGGAAAAGUUUCCCAGGUUCUCCCAGCAAGUCAGGCACAGACUCGAAUGCAGGUUUCACAAUUGGGGUUUCCGGAGACAUUCUUUUCUCCUGGGCUGAGCUGCAGAGUUUGAGGACAGUUCUUGGGCUGAAGUUGUCACGAACAGGUAUCUUGUGUCUUGUGAGGGCCAUGUUACUUGGUCCCACACUAUGACACCCAGGGGGAAUCAAGCAGGAAUGUACACACAACCAGCAUCAUCCUGCCUCCUGUUUCCUGCCUGGAAAGUGAGAAGAAAUGUCUGGAGCUGCAGUAGCCACAUUGUGACCAUGAGGCAGAAGCAGAAGGAAUUACAGUGGCCAAGUCUUGACAUUACAACAGAGCCACUGACGAUUCCUUGAACUGUCUGCCCGAGUGUUUCUUGUAGUUGAUAAAAGUAAACUCCUACAAUCGAGACCAGCCCGCUAGACCCCCAAAAUUGUUGUAACCAUUUUGUUCCAGGCCUGCCAGCUAUUUCGCAUUGUUGCUGUAACAUGCCAGUCAUGGACACACAAAAAUAACUUGACUCAGUGCAGGGUCAUGCUGACCACAUCCCUGUUAUAGUCUGUAUGUUCUGAAGUUUGUUAAUCUUAAGAAAUCCAACAGCUGUAAGCUCCAUGUAGGACCAAUCAGAAUAAAGGUCAGUUAGAACUGUUCUGUCCAAAAGCUGGCCAAAGUAGCUUGAGUCAGAGCUGACCAUUGGGCAGCACUUCCUGCACCUGCCUAUGAGCUUGUUGUGGUUUUUCCCUUUAU
This 904-nucleotide long non-coding RNA is filed under the name Rattus norvegicus (Norway rat). RNAcentral's name for it is "long non-coding RNA NONRATT031696". Lineage: Eukaryota; Metazoa; Chordata; Mammalia; Rodentia; Muridae. The record is from RNAcentral.